This 310-nucleotide small nuclear RNA is filed under the name Erinaceus europaeus (western European hedgehog). RNAcentral describes it as "7SK RNA". It matches the Rfam family "7SK RNA". From Rfam's summary of the family: 7SK was discovered as an abundant small nuclear RNA in the mid-70s but a possible function has only recently been suggested. Two independent studies have found that 7SK RNA binds the CDK9/cyclin T complex (known as elongation factor P-TEFb). Lineage: Eukaryota; Metazoa; Chordata; Mammalia; Eulipotyphla; Erinaceidae. The record is from Rfam by way of RNAcentral.
GGAUGUGAGGGCGAUCUGGCUGCAACAUCUGUCACCCCAUUGAUCGCCAGGGUUGAUUCAGCUGAUCUGGCUGGCUUAGGUGGGUGUCCCCUUCCUCCCCCCUCACUGCUCCAUGUGCGUCCCUCAUGAAGCUGCCCACUAGGUCGAAAAGGAUGGCCUUCCCCGAAUAGAGAGGGGAAACAGAUCUUUGUAAUAUUAUUGACUUUCUGAAUAGUGCAGGUAGCACUUUGAUUAAAAACUUUGAUUUUAAAAGAAAUAGACUUAGUUACUAGCUGAAACUUAUACUUAAUUUUGUUGAGUAACAAAUAAU